This 270-nucleotide ribosomal RNA is filed under the name uncultured archaeon. RNAcentral's name for it is "partial 16S ribosomal RNA". It matches the Rfam family "Archaeal small subunit ribosomal RNA", at positions 477 to 747 of the family's 1478-position model. The record is from RNAcentral.
CAGCACCUCAAGUGGUCAGGAUGAUUAUUGGGCCUAAAGCAUCCGUAGCCGGCGCUGUAAGUUUUCGGUUAAAUCUGUACGCUCAACGUACAGGCUGCCGGGAAUACUGCAGAGCUAGGGAGUGGGAGAGGUAGACGGUACUCGGUAGGAAGGGGUAAAAUCCUUUGAUCUAUUGAUGACCACCUGUGGCGAAGGCGGUCUACCAGAACACGUCCGACGGUGAGGGAUGAAAGCUGGUGGAGCAAACCGGAUUAUAUACCCGAGUAGUCC